GUGGUUAACCCGGUGAACCGGAGCGACAGGCAUGAGGAAGACUCGUUAAUGUUCAUGAGAGCGGCUAUUUAGCUCGUUCAUUCUGCUAAAACAACAAUAUUUAAUAGUUCACGCUUCAGUUCGAGGCGGUUAUAACCUUCAUCUCUUCAGUGGAGCUGGAUAUCAGAGGCCAACGGCAGCAGCGCGAGAAGGCAAGGAGAGAUGUCGUCGUCACACUAUUCGUCCUCCCGUAGUUCAUCUCGGGCCACCGACUGUAAAGUUUACGUGGGUGACUUGGGCAAUGGUGCUGCCAAGGGGGAGCUGGAGCGAGCAUUCAGUUAUUAUGGCCCACUGAGAACCGUCUGGGUGGCCAGAAACCCGCCUGGGUUUGCCUUUGUGGAGUUUGAGGAUCCCAGAGAUGCAGAAGAUGCUGUGAAAGGCAUGGAUGGAAAGAUCCUUUGUGGUUCCCGUGUUCGUGUGGAGAUGUCAACAGGCAUGUCGAGGAAGGGCCGUGGGCGCCCCAGCCGACGCCAGUUCGACCCACAAGAUCGGUGUUACCAGUGUGGGGACCGGGGCCACUACGCUUAUGACUGCUACCGCUUUAGCAAGAGAGGAGGCCGUCGCAGCAGGUCUCGCUCUCAUUCUCGAUCUCGCUCCAGGUCCAGGUCCCGCGGACACCGUUAUCGCUCUCGCUCCCGCAGCCGUAGCAACAGCAGGAGCCGUCGGCGAUCUCCGUCCUACUCCAGACGCAGGAGCAGGUCAGGCUCCCAAGCCCGGUCCAAGUCCAGGACUCCAGUGAGAAGUCGUUCCAGAUCUCGAUCUCGGUCCGGCUCUAAGCCCAGAAGACGCUCUGCCUCCCGCUCCCGCUCACGAUCGAAGUCAGCCAAUCACAAGAGGAACAGCCAGAACUAGGUGCUCCAUUCUAGGCAGGGAAUGAAUAAAUAGACCCUCCUUCCACCCGGGAGCAUCAUGCUGCCACCAAACUUGACGGUGAGAUGGACGAGCACCGAGACCCCUCCACCUCCUCGACACCGAGAGAUCUGCAUCUUCAGCCAUGUCUUCUGUCUCUGCUGUUGGCCGGCAGUGGAGUGGGGGAGGGGUAGAGGACAGUGACUGGGGCCCUCUGUCUGGUGUAGGGAAGUAUAAGUAGAUGAAAGAUUAGACCUCUCUCUGUCUUGUGCUCUCUUUUCCAACUCUUGAUUGCGCUGCACUGUUAAAACUUAACUCAGAGUGGCUCUAAAGGCCCAGACACACCAAGCCGACAUCAAAGAACUAGCGGCGAUAAAGGCCGCUGUUGCGUCGCUUCAGUCUCGACAAGUUGCGCUUGAAGACACCGCGAAGACUACAGCAGACGGCCAGUUAGCACGUAUGUUCUGCGCCUGUAUGAGAGGAGAUAACUCUCCACACCAGCAGGCGGCGGUAGUUGUCAUUCUAAAAGUGAAACCGGAAGACCUAGGAUGGCGAAUAAACAAGCUGUUGUUAUGAUACGUACAUGAAACAAUCAGCAUUUGCCGACCAUUUUCACACCACUCUCACUCACACUCAGAGCCUUCUGUGUGGGCCAUCUUGACUUAACUCGUUAGCUUGCGUUCCUCACGUCCGUUUCUCUUCUCGUGCACUGAUUCGUUUAAGCUGAACAGCCAAUCGGAGGGAUUUCUCUCACCGACGGGCUCUUCUGCCGAUUCAACAUGCUGAAUCGGCCGAAAAACCUCCGACUAGAGCCGACGGUGCAGGACACACCACAAAAACUAGACUGACAGACGCUCACCGUCUGCCCCAAACUGUCCGACAGCCGACCGACGGCUUGGUGUGUGUCAGGGCCUUUCUCACUUGAUGUUGAAAAGAGAGCACAUGAAAGAGAGCCUGUAAACUGUUCAGACUCUUAGCAGCUAAAUGCACCCAUAUCCUCUGUACUCUUGCUUUCCUUUGAUCACCAUAGAUGAAAUUAUUUAGGCUGACAGAGCAAGAGAGAAAAUUGUAUUUAUUGGUUUUGACAAGUGUUAAGUAAAGAUGAUCAGUAUUGUAAAUGUUUUUAUUUUAAAUUUAAAUUCCCUAUCUUGAAUUUGGCUAGAUGAAGAGAAAUCUCCAGAAACAUAUUAGCUGACAAAACGACACCAUUGGUGUGAUUUAAGUUAAGCAUCUUUGCAGCACAGUUUUGUUUAUUUUUCAUAUUUUCUUUAAAGCGUGUGGUGGGAGCUGAGCACUGCACUGACACCACAGCUGAUCCCAGGCCCAGGGUCUGCCAGCUGGCGGUGUGUACGUCCUGCGGGAGGGUGACUAAGCGCUGACCUGAGAUCAGCCUUCGCCUGCAUCUGGUGUUAGACAGCGAGAAAGAGGUCGACCGACCGACCGAUCCCUCCCCACAGUGAAUGGGUGACCGUCUGUUCAACCGACGCACACGCUCAGACGAGAUCAGCCGUGCACACAUAGAGUCGUUCUACUAGAGUCACCCAGCCAGCCAGCCAGCCAGCCUUCAGACGUACCAGAGGGCUGACCCACACAGAUCAGAGUUCGACCACUACGUUUUUUAAUCCAUUACCUACCUACCAGACCCCCUACCUACCAGAGUUCUUCGGCCUCUGUCUUAGCUUCUGAAAGUGAGAGAAAGAGAGCUGACGAGAGAUCAGUCUUCAAGAGCCUUCACAGCGCAGUGUCUCUCCAAGUUGUAGUCAUCCGUCCUACAGUCCUUUCAUCCUUCGCUUCUCUGUACUUGUUGUUUCUGCCACUGUCUCCAAAGUCGUUCCCGUUCAGCAACUCCACACCGAAGCGCUACGCCAGCAGACGACUGAGUGAAGAAGACUUUUUAGUUGCUUAACAGACAGACCCUCAACUCCUGCACUCUGUCUGCUUUUACAGCCCUACAGCCGCGGUUUUUUUUGUACCUGUCUGUCUAGUCCUGGACGUUUUUUAAGUUUAAUUUUCUCCCCAGGACUGUAGUCUUCGUGCAGCCUCAGAAUGUUGAAGAAUUAGUCAGAAUAGCAGACAAAAAUCAGUUUCCGUUCGAUAGAGAUUGUUUGAAGUGUUGCUGCUGCUGCUGCAUCUUCCUUCUAUAAUGUUGCGUAGCAAUUGUUAAGAAGCAACACCUGUGUUGAGGUAAUACUGAAUGACUUUUAGCAGUGAUUUGAGCAGCUUGUACAGUAAAUUUUCAGUGGAAGAAAGCCCAUUUGAUGCAGCUCUUGAGGGUGAAGACGUUGCAUUGAAAAACUGCUUUUAUUCCCUAAAAUUUCAAAACCUCAAAAUAUGUUUUCCCUAUGGAGAAUCAGCAAUACUAUCAAUUUUUUUGUAUUGUGCUCCAAUUAGAUUUUUGAGUUCAAAUGCUGUUUCCACUCAUGAUGGCAUAAGGAGGUAGUUGCUGGCCCGCAUGCCUUUAAAUAUGACGUCACAUUCCUACUGUUUGUGUUUCUGUGCUGCACUGCCCCUUUUUAUGAACCUGAUCAGCUUCAGUGUGCUGAAUAGAUUCCCCCCGAUGUGUUGAUUUGUUCCAGUGACUUUUAUUUUUAAAAUAUAUACAGUGCUGAAGUUUGAUUUCUGUAAGGGCUGCUUUAACAGUUUUGUUCUGUUCCUGGCUUGUAUGGUAAGACAGUGGCAGUUUUAUUUUUAAAUAAACCUCUUCAACACAC
This is an RNA transcript of Sebastes umbrosus (honeycomb rockfish), 3599 nucleotides long. It is a transcript of the gene named serine and arginine rich splicing factor 7a, with no coding region annotated. Lineage: Eukaryota; Metazoa; Chordata; Actinopteri; Perciformes; Sebastidae. The transcript is spliced from 9 exons. The record is from RefSeq and is a predicted model, not a curated record.